CCUCGGGUGGCAGCAGUGGGGAAUAUUGGACAAUGGGCGAAAGCCUGAUCCAGCCAUGCCGCGUGUGUGAAGAAGGCCUUCGGGUUGUAAAGCACUUUCAGUGGGGAAGAAAGCCUUGGGGCUAAUACCCUCGAGGAAGGACAUCACCCACAGAAGAAGCACCGGCUAACUCCGUGCCAGCAGCCGCGGUAAUACGGAGGGUGCGAGCGUUAAUCGGAAUUACUGGGCGUAAAGCGCGCGUAGGCGGUCUGAUAAGCCGGUUGUGAAAGCCCCGGGCUCAACCUGGGAACGGCAUCCGGAACUGUCAGGCUAGAGUGCAGGAGAGGAAGGUAGAAUUCCCGGUGUAGCGGUGAAAUGCGUAGAGAUCGGGAGGAAUACCAGUGGCGAAGGCGGCCUUCUGGACUGACACUGACGCUGAGGUGCGAAAGCGUGGGUAGCAAACAGGAUUAGAUACCCCAGUAGU
Molecule: ribosomal RNA, 463 nt
Filed under: Vreelandella stevensii
Lineage: Bacteria; Pseudomonadati; Pseudomonadota; Gammaproteobacteria; Oceanospirillales; Halomonadaceae
Description: partial 16S ribosomal RNA
Rfam family: Bacterial small subunit ribosomal RNA
Source: RNAcentral